AACGAACGAGACUCUAGCCUGCUAAAUAGUACACCGGUAAAUCGUGUUCGUACAGGAUGCAAUGUUAAUUAUGUGCGAUAUUAUCAGCAGUGGCAAUGCAUUAUAAUGUAGUGCUAUUGUUGACGAUGUCUGUACAGUUUGGCAUGGCUUUCUGACGAACACUAUGCAGGUGAAACUUCUUAGAGGGACAAGUUGAACUUAAAACAGCACGAAAUUGAGCAAUAACAGGUCUGUGAUGCCCUUAGAUGUCCGGGGCCGAACGCGCGCUACAAUGACAGUACCAGUGUGUAUGAUGACCUUGCCUGAAAAGGUUGGGCAAACCGUUCCAUUACUGUCGUGACAGGGAUCGGGGUUUGUAAUUAUCCCCCGUGAACGAGGAAUUCCCAGUAAGUGCAAGUCAUAAGCUUGUGCUGAUUACGUCCCUGCCCUUUGUACACACCGCCCGUCGCUACUACCGAUUGAAUGGUUUGGCAAGGCCCUCAGAUUGGCACCAUUGUAGUAUUUCGUUUCCACAAUUUAGUGGUACGUUUGCUCGACAGGUACUGAGAAGAGGACCAAACUUGAUCAUUUAGAGGAAGUAAAAGUCGUAACAAGGUUUCCGUAGUGAACCUGCGGAAGGAUCAUUA
Molecule: ribosomal RNA, 626 nt
Filed under: Polystoma sp. DNA-8
Lineage: Eukaryota; Metazoa; Platyhelminthes; Monogenea; Polystomatidea; Polystomatidae
Description: bacterial SSU rRNA
Rfam family: Eukaryotic small subunit ribosomal RNA
Source: RNAcentral